CCUACGGGAGGCAGCAGUAGGGAAUCUUCCGCAAUGGACGAAAGUCUGACGGAGCAACGCCGCGUGAGUGAUGAAGGCUUUCGGGUCGUAAAACUCUGUUGUUAGGGAAGAACAAGUGCUAGUUGAAUAAGCUGGCACCUGACGGUACCUAACCAGAAAGCCACGGCUAACUACGUGCCAGCAGCCGCGGUAAUACGUAGGUGGCAAGCGUUAUCCGGAAUUAUUGGGCGUAAAGCGCG
Molecule: ribosomal RNA, 239 nt
Filed under: uncultured Bacillus sp.
Lineage: Bacteria; Bacillati; Bacillota; Bacilli; Caryophanales; Bacillaceae
Description: partial 16S ribosomal RNA
Rfam family: Bacterial small subunit ribosomal RNA
Source: RNAcentral